RNAcentral lists this ribosomal RNA (378 nucleotides) under uncultured bacterium. RNAcentral describes it as "bacterial SSU rRNA". It matches the Rfam family "Bacterial small subunit ribosomal RNA", at positions 30 to 410 of the family's 1533-position model. The record is from RNAcentral.
AUUGAACGCUGGCGGCAUGCCUUACACAUGCAAGUCGAACGGCAGCGGACCUUCGGGUGCCGGCGAGUGGCGAACGGGUGAGUAAUAUAUCGGAACGUACCUUUCAGUGGGGGAUAACGUAGCGAAAGUUGCGCUAAUACCGCAUAUUCUGUGAGCAGGAAAGCAGGGGAUCGCAAGACCUUGCGCUGAUUGAGCGGCCGAUAUCAGAUUAGCUAGUUGGUGAGGUAAAGGCUCACCAAGGCGACGAUCUGUAGCGGGUCUGAGAGGAUGAUCCGCCACACUGGAACUGAGACACGGUCCAGACUCCUACGGGAGGCAGCAGUGGGGAAUUUUGGACAAUGGACGCAAGCCUGAUCCAGCCAUGCCGCGUGAGUGAAG